Molecule: unclassified non-coding RNA, 89 nt
Filed under: Pseudomonas sp. bs2935
Lineage: Bacteria; Pseudomonadati; Pseudomonadota; Gammaproteobacteria; Pseudomonadales; Pseudomonadaceae
Source: RNAcentral
GGUGGGAGCUGGCUUGCCUGCGAUGGCGGCGUGUCAGCUUGCACAUGAGUGGCUGAUACACCGCCAUCGCAGGCAAGCCAGCUCCCACA